This 250-nucleotide ribosomal RNA is filed under the name uncultured bacterium. RNAcentral's name for it is "partial 16S ribosomal RNA". It matches the Rfam family "Bacterial small subunit ribosomal RNA", at positions 335 to 599 of the family's 1533-position model. The record is from RNAcentral.
AGGCCUACGGGACGCAGCAGUGGGGAAUAUUGGGCAAUGGGCGCAAGCCUGACCCAGCAACGCCGCGUGAAGGAAGAAGGCUUUCGGGUUGUAAACUUCUUUUGUCAGGGACGAAGCAAGUGACGGUACCUGACGAAUAAGCCACGGCUAACUACGUGCCAGCAGCCGCGGUAAUGCGUAGGCGGCAAGCGUUAUCCGGAUUUAUUGGGUGUAAAGGGCGUGUAGGUGGGAAUGUAAGUCAGAUGUGAAA